Molecule: ribosomal RNA, 397 nt
Filed under: uncultured bacterium
Lineage: Bacteria
Description: bacterial SSU rRNA
Rfam family: Bacterial small subunit ribosomal RNA
Source: RNAcentral
GACGAACGCUGGCGGCGUGCUUAACACAUGCAAGUCGAGCGGUAAGGCCCUUUCGGGGGUACACGAGCGGCGAACGGGUGAGUAACACGUGGGUGACCUGCCCUCAGCUCUGGGAUAAGCCUGGGAAACUGGGUCUAAUACUGGAUAUGACUCCACGGUGCAUGUCGUGGGGUGGAAAGCCUUGUGCGGCUGAGGAUGGGCCCGCGGCCUAUCAGCUUGUUGGUGGGGNGAUGGCCUACCAAGGCGACGACGGGUAGCCGGCCUGAGAGGGCGACCGGCCACACUGGGACUGAGACACGGCCCAGACUCCUACGGGAGGCAGCAGUGGGGAAUCUUGCGCAAUGGGCGAAAGCCUGACGCAGCGACGCUGCGUGAGGGAUGACGGCCUCGGUUGUAA